This 562-nucleotide ribosomal RNA is filed under the name Taphozous nudiventris (naked-rumped tomb bat). RNAcentral describes it as "partial 16S ribosomal RNA". The record is from RNAcentral. Lineage: Eukaryota; Metazoa; Chordata; Mammalia; Chiroptera; Emballonuridae.
CCGUUUUGCACACAGAUCAACUAUAACUUUUCUUGUUUUAGAAACAGAGCCCGCCCAGUGAUAUAAAUUAAACGGGCGCGGUGUUCUGACCGUGCAAAGGUAGCAUAAUCAUUUGUUCUCUAAAUAGGGAGGGGUAUGAGCUGCCACACGAGGAUCUAACUGUCUCUUUCUCAAAAAGUGUGAAUCAAUUAAUGAUGUGAAGAGUCGGGGAUACAUCAAUAAGUCGAGAAGACUCUAAGGAGCUUUUAUUAACUAACUUAAUAAGAAGACAAAAAUUUCAAAAAUGACUAGACUAGUCUUAAUAUAAGUUAGCAAAAAUCGUCGGGGUGACCUCGGAGCAUAGAAAAUCCUCCGAUUGAUUAAUAUUUAGGACUUCAAGUCAAAAUAACAACAUCAUUAAAUGAUCCAAGCUUUUGGAUCAGCGGCACAAGUUACCCUGGGGAUACCAGCGCACUGGCAUUCAAGAGUCCACUCGACGAUGGGGUUUCCGGCUCGAUGUGAGAUCAGGACACGCAGGUGUGCAGCGCUGCAAGAUCGUCUAUCUCUGUGAAACAAAUUCCGA